CUCCCAAUGGAAGAAUAGGGAAUCCGGUGCAAUUCCGGAACAAUACCUGUUGCUGUAUAUUCCACUCCGUUUUGAUAGGAGUCAGAUGUUUGCCUUUUCAAAGUCACUGGCGUUCAGCUGGGAAGGCUUGGCAAAUGGAAUGAGUCAGAAGACCUGCCGCUUGCAUU
This 167-nucleotide non-coding RNA is filed under the name human gut metagenome. The record is from RNAcentral.